RNAcentral lists this unclassified non-coding RNA (167 nucleotides) under soil metagenome. RNAcentral describes it as "partial internal transcribed spacer 1". The record is from RNAcentral.
GUGAAUUAAACAUGCUUGGUGUCUUCGCUUCGGCAAGGCCCUUGCUUAAAUCACAUCCUAACACCUGUGGACUGUAAGACGUAUGAUGAGGUCUUUGGCCAAGUCAUCGUCUGCCCAUUUUUAACAAACAAUUAAUGUAACAAACGUAGUCUUAUUAUAACCUAAUA